Molecule: transfer RNA, 50 nt
Filed under: Chelonoidis duncanensis (Duncan Island giant tortoise)
Lineage: Eukaryota; Metazoa; Chordata; Testudines; Testudinidae
Description: partial tRNA-Gln
Source: RNAcentral
UAGAAUAUAGUAUAAUGGAAGUAUAGGGAGUUUUGAUCUCUCUGGUAUAG